This 1470-nucleotide ribosomal RNA is filed under the name uncultured Bordetella sp. RNAcentral describes it as "partial 16S-23S ribosomal RNA intergenic spacer". It matches the Rfam family "Bacterial small subunit ribosomal RNA". The record is from RNAcentral. Lineage: Bacteria; Pseudomonadati; Pseudomonadota; Betaproteobacteria; Burkholderiales; Alcaligenaceae.
AGUUUGAUUAUGGCUCAGAUUGAACGCUGGCGGGAUGCUUUACACAUGCAAGUCGAACGGCAGCACGGACUUCGGUCUGGUGGCGAGUGGCGAACGGGUGAGUAAUGUAUCGGAACGUGCCUAGUAGCGGGGAUAAUCGAUGUUGUAGCUAAUACCGCAUACGUUCGGGGAAAGUAAAUUCUGGGCCUCGCACUAUUAGAGCGGCCGAUAUCGGAUUAGCUAGUUGGCGGGGUAACGGCUCAAUACAGCGACGAUCCGUAGCUGGUUUGAGAGGACGACCAGCCACACUGGGACUGAGACACGGCCCAGACUCCUACGGGAGGUGCAGUGGGGGGAAUUUUGGACAAUGGGGAAACCCUGAUCCAGCCAUCCCGCGUGUGCGAUGAAGGCCUUCGGGCCAGGUACACCUUUUGGCAGGAAAAGAAACGCGCACGGGAUAAUACCCCGUGCAACUGACGGUACCCGCAGAAUAAGCACCGGCUAACUACGCCAGCAGCCGUAAUACGUAGGGCGCAAGCGUUAAUCGGAAUUACUGGGCGUAAAAGCGUGCGCAGGCGGUUCGGAAAGAAAGAUGUGAAAUCCCAGAGCUUAACUUUGAACUGCAUUUUUAAUUACCGAGCCAGAGUGUGUCAGAGGGAGGUGGGGAAUUCCGCGUGUAGCAGUGAAAUGCGCAGAUAUGCGGAGGAACACCGAUGGCGAAGGCAGCCUCCGAUAACACUGACGCUCAUGCACGAAAGCGUGGGGAGCAAACAGGAUUUAGAUACCGGUAGUCCACGCCCCAAACGAUGUCAACUAGCCGUUGGGGCCCGGGCCUUGCAGCGCAGCUAACGCGUGAAGCCGGACCGCCUGUGGAGUACGGUCGCAAGAUUAAAACUCAAAGGGAAUGACGGGACCCGCACAAGCGGUGGAUGAUGUGGAUUAAUUCGAUGCAACGCGAAAAACCUUACCUACCCUUGAUACUGUCUGAAAUCCCAACAGAUUUGGGAGUGCUCGGCAGCAAGAGAACCGGAACACAGGUGCUGCAUGGCUGUCGUCACCGUGUCGUGAGAUGUUGGGUUAAGUCCCGCAACGAGCGCAACCCUUGUCAUUAGUUGCUACGAAAGGGCACUCUAAUGAGACUGCCGGUGACAAACCGGAGGAAGGUGGGGAUGACGUCAAGUCCUCAUGGCCCUUAUGGGUAGGGCUUCACACGUCAUACAAUGGUCGGGACAGAGGCCGCCAACCCGCGAGGGGAGCCAAUCCAGAAACCUGACUGUAGUCCGGAUCGCAGUCUGCAACUCGACUGCAGUCGGAAUCGCUAGUAAUCGCGAUCAGCGGCCGUCGUGCGGUGAAUACGUUCCUGGCCCUGUACACACCGCACGUCACACCAUGGGAGUGGGCUUUACUGAAGUAGUUAGCCUAACCGUGUAAGGAGGGCGAUUACCACGGUGCAGGAUUCAUGACUGGGGUGAAGUCGUACAAGGUAACCCU